AAUGUAGGCUGUUAUGUCAGUCAGUGGUGAAAUCCCUCGGCUCAACCGAGGAACUGCCUUUGAUACUGCAUGACUUGAGGACAGGAGAGGAAAGUGGAAUUCCCGGUGUAGCGGUGGAAUGCGUAGAUAUCGGGAGGAACACCAGAGGCGAAGGCGGCUUUCUGGACUGGUCCUGACGCUCAGAUUCGAAAGCUAGGGUAGCAAACA
RNAcentral lists this ribosomal RNA (207 nucleotides) under uncultured bacterium. Its description in RNAcentral is "partial 16S ribosomal RNA". It matches the Rfam family "Bacterial small subunit ribosomal RNA", at positions 568 to 774 of the family's 1533-position model. The record is from RNAcentral.